AAUGAAAAAAUGUGAGAUAAGUGCAAUUGUUUGUACUCCAGUGGGAGGGACAAGACUAUCGCAGCAUUCUUCAAAAUAAUGCAGGUGUUGAAAAGAUCGGUCGACCUGAAGAGACACUGCACAACUGAAUGAAUUGGAUCCGUUGAAACAGGAGAUUUCACUGAUCUUGAAAUAAGUCACAAGAGAAUUGCGUAAAUCCUAAACCGCUUUGUCUCUGAGCAAUCAAUUUAACGAUCACCCUUCUCCUCGGGCUUGAGUUCAUUUACCGGUUGUAAGUUGAGGACUGGUCUUAUUCACCAAUAUUCCAUCUGUUCUGAUUUUCUUAUCAAUGGAGAAUAUACAGUGACACUAUCUUCAGUGAAAUCUGAGGGGUGAGGAGUGAAUCUAUUUCUCAUGAUUUUCCAAGAGUGGGCAAUUCAGCGAGCAUCAGAGGAAAUUCCCUGACAGUUCUACAUUAUAUCACUACCUUGCAAGCAAGCGAUGUUCGAUUUAAUUUUUAUAAUUAAAUGUUGACUCACCGAUUUACGAACUCAGCGAUAAUUUAAAAUUUUGAGCUCAAAUAAAGCCUUAAAAACAUAGUAAUCCUCGAACAAUCGCGCUUACCUUAGGCAUAAUUAGUUUAAGUCUACGUAAAUGCUAAAUACAUUUAGCACUACUGCUUAUUAGAAUAAUGUUAUGACGUCGUACAUAUCUGGUGUGUCUCCUAAAUCUUUCCAAUCGUUAAUAAUCACUAUUAUCUUCCUCUCUCAUUACUGUUUAUUACGGUAUUUCCUUGAUUUUUAGAUAGCACUAUAAUGCUUUCGUAUUGCAUCGAUGGCAGUACAGCCCUACUUAGUCAUGCAAAGAUAUAAUGAAUUAAUUUUUAAUUGCUUCAUCGUUUUUCUAUUCGAAAAUCAGUUGCUUUCGCUAUUAUUCUCAAUCCUCUCUCUUUAUUAUUCACCAUGCACUUACUCAAUGCAAUAUACGCAUGUAAAUUUUACGUUAUUCAUUAUUCCAUAUAUUCGUAAUAUUUGUUUUAAUCCUCAUUACGCAUUUUUACUGCAGUCUGUACUGUAGACCAUGCGCCGCGAUCGCGUAUCGAUACGCGUGGAAUAAUCACUACGUCGUUUAUCAUAAUUCAACUAAUUUUAAGUGUUUUUGUAUUUUUUUUUGUUUUAAAUAUUUCUUCUAUAUAAUUCUCGGCAAUAAUGAGUUAUUAACAUAUUUUCUAUAAAUAUAGUUAACCCUCGCGUUGCUCGACGCGCCUUCAGCCGACGCUCGAUGCUGUUUCUUUCAUUCCUCAUAUGCGUUUUUUUCUUCUUAAAUAAAAGCUAGAAAAUAUGAGUAUAUUUUAUCAUGUAAACUAUCGUCUCGUCCAUAAACUCAAUUAUCUCUUUUAUUCAAUGUCGUUGAAUUCAAUUCGAUAGUUUUGAUAACUUGUAGCGGCUCUUCUAUAGGGAAUUUUGUUUUUAUGAUUUAUCAUCGUGGCAUAUUUAAUUAAUUGUAAUCAAGUUUGUGUGUGUGUGUGAAAUGCACGUGUGGCUGGGUUCAUUAUUCGUCGAGUCUAAUUGGAUUAAUCUAUCGUUUUUUCACGGGCUUUCCACGUAGGGAAUUUUCCCCUUUCUUCUGCGUCUUUUAUGGCUUUUGAAUACCCCGGGUGUCUUGGGAGAUCCAAACGGAACAAUAUCCUGUAAAUAUCAGUCGAGUUUCUUUUUUUUUGGGAAGGGGGGGGGGGUAUCACAAUUUAUGCAUUUCCGCAAUAUCAAUAAUAUCUAUGUGCAUACUAGGCUCACAUUAUUCGUUUUAUCAACAUCAUUUAGGUUUAUUUUUAUAUCACAUCUGUCUAACGUCACUGCGCCCAAUCACAAGUUAUUACCAUUUGGUUAAAUUAAUUCUUUUUCGGAUUACUUCUGCUAGUGGUGAUCACUCAACUUUGGUUCGCAAUUAAUAAUAAUUUUAAGCACGAGUGGAAUUUAUUUAUAUUCUCCGUUUUUGCACUGAGAAGAAAUAAUAGAAUAUUUACGGUGAAAUUGAGGGGAAAAAAUCCGGGGAUUAAUCUCGGAUCACCGAUAUUCUUUAAAGAAACACUUGGAAAUUUUUCUUUUUUUCAACUUUGAAUUACAAAUGCAAUUUGACAGAAGUCUAGUUCAGAAAAAUUCAGGGAAAAUGGGUAAUUAUUUCGGUGGCUCCAGUAAUUUUUUUUUUCAGAUUUGAAUUGAAAUUGAAGGAUUUAACCUAGAUGUUUGCAAAAAUGAUUCAAUUUGUACAUGUUUUACUCCUUCCAGUCAAUUUCACCUGCAAAUUUCCUUUCUAUUUUUUUUUCUCUGUGAAAUUUCUAAUUUUUGGUUCGUGUCCGCGAUUUGCUCCGAUGUACGGUAUGUAUGAUUUUCAGUUGAUGAUUUUUUUCAUUGCUUCGUUAAUUCUUCCGGUAUUAUCACUCCUAAUUGAUCUAAUUGACACUGCCGUCACUUAAAAUGUGAAUUAACGUACGAUACCGGAGACUAAUUUAGGUAAUUCAAAUAUCAGGCACUUUAUAACAUUUUUUACGCAUUCACGAAAUUAUUCGUUGGCUUGUUGAAUUCUUUGGUUCAUGUUCGUUGCGUUCUCAUGAUUUAAGAAAAUUAGAGGACACAAGAGUACACAAGAGUACACAAGAAAAGGAUGAAUGAGGAAUAGGAAAGAUUGCAGUCAAGUAGACAGAGGUUUUCUUUAGAUUUCUAUUAGAUUUAGAUUAGAAAUUUGAGUAGAGCCACAUCAUAUAAUCUCUUAUUAGAAAUUGCGGACUUUUGGACUUGAAUAGUUGGUCUCCGCUCGGGAUUGAAGGUCCUAAAUUUCAUGUCAUAACUCUGUUGAAAUGUCAAGUGAAAAGCCUCGAGAUGUCUGAAAGAUUUGUCCGCCAAUAAAAUAAAGCUUGAAUUUCAAUUUCAAACAUUUUCAACAGUUCUACGGACAUUAAUUAGAAUUUUGAGAAGAAUGCCUCAACGCUAAUCAACAGUUAAUUGUUUUAAUAUUAGUAAUAAGGUAAUUUCACCCGAGUGGAGUUAUAUUGACUACCGAUAUUGACUAUUCACUAAUUGAACUUUUUGUCACUUCGUCCAUAAGUCAGAUUUUUUAUUUAUGGACGUAAUGACAAGACUGAAUAGCACAAAUGUGCGUUUCUAACGAUUUUCAUUCAAAUUGAGUUUAAAUUUUCAUUGGAUCACCCGAAUUUGAGCUCAGAAGGUCAUUCUGACUGGAAAAAUUGGGGAAUACACGUAGUAACGAGAGAUCGUGAGCAGAGUAUUACAAUAAUGUACAAUCUCGAAAGAUUUGUUCAGCUGAUUUUUUACAAUUUCAUUCAAUUCUCACAAACAUUAGCAAAAUAUCGGGAAAUAAUUUUUUAUCCGUCGUCAGUCUCUGUUCAUUAUUGGAAUCUCCAACAGCUAUACAAAUUUUAGUCGGCCAUUUGUUAUUGACGAUUCAUGAGUGAAAUAUCGGGAAACAUUUGAAUUCGGAAGCUGAAUUUUUUUCACGUAUAAUACGACAAUUGUAAAUCAGGCCCGAUUUUUUUUUUACCGCUUUGAAUAAUUAGUUCGGGCUGUUUCAGAUUUAUUGACUAUUUUGUGGAAUCCUCUGGAUGAAGAGGUGCAGAGUAAUUUCGAUAAUUUGAUUCCCUUCAUCUUUUUUAUGCGUAAAAAAGAGACGAGAGAAACUAACGGGUGAAUACAUUAUUGAUGAAUGGUGAGAGUUCGAAACCGAUAUUUAUUGAAUAUUGGCCCACGGGGGACCCAGCCUCUCGCCAGCAUUUAAUAUUAACCAUUAAAUUACCUCCGUUACUGUUAACUCAGCCUCGAUUAACCUAUCGUUAUCAUCAAUCAGCUAGUGUUUUUUCCCUAGGGAUGCCUACAUUUAAAUUCUAUAUUUACACACGCCAUACUGUAGAACUUCUACUCAAGAAAAAUCAAUACCUCUAAAUAUAUAUUAAAAAUAUUCGUAACAAUGUGCGCGUCAUUUUAAAAAAUUACAUUAUUUGUUUCUGGUGUAAAAUCGCAGGGGCCAUUAUUGAACGCAUAUUCAUUGCUAUUUUCGGGUUGUUGUUGCUCGGGAGAGAGCUGAAAAAUUUACUGGUCUACAACAAUUUAUCGAAGUGAGAGCUAUAGUUUAAAUCACACUACCAUUAUUCCAGGGUUGCAUCGAUGAUAACGUCGCCCACUCUCGUGACUUGUUCAUGUUUCUGUUUUAAUUUACAUCCCCUUCCCCCCUUUCUCCUCGUUAACCACCCCCUGUGAUUCGGAUUUUAUCUUUCAAUGUUUAUCAACGAUGCCGGUCUGUGUGCUUGCGGCAAUAAAAAGAAAUGUACAAUUCAACGAACUCGCCAACUAGCAAUUUCUUGACAAUUAUUCCAUGGAGAGAAAUUUCUUUUUUUAACCGAGAAUUUUGUGGGAAUGUUCUCAAAUGUCCAUUCAAUUGAAUAAGCAGUCUGAAAUUAUCAAGUUCUUUCAUUUCUCCUGGCGCCAUUGCAUUUGAAAUCGCAAUAAUUUUGUAAUUGCAAUUUUGCCAUUAUUUUUUGUUACUCAGCAAACUAGCAAAGGAUCGUUGAAUUGAAUUCGUGCACAUAAAUAUAUGAACAUUUCAAGUCAGUUGGACUCCCCCAUUUGAAAUAAUAGUAGAUAAGCCAGAAGAUGCAUGCAUACAAUACUUAAACCCCUUAAUCGCAGCUUAUUUUCGCUCUUCAUGUUCAAUUGUUCACUGCAAAAGUUUUAAUUGCGUUACCACUUAAAGCUAGGACUGUUCUGAACACAUUUGUUCUGUUAGUGUCGUGACUCGUAAGCGCAUUAUUUCUUGCUUCGUUAUUUUUUUCUCAAUAUAAUAUAUCUUUUUUCAUUAUCGACGGAGUUAAAAAUGUUAUCGCGUUAGUUUGGUACGAUUUUUCGUCUAUCUCUCAUUUUUUUAUCAAGCGUGAAUGCUAAACAUGACAAAAAAUGUUCCCUCAGUGAGCGACAUCAGUCUAACGAUUUUUCAGGUGACGAAUUCGUAAAUUCAACGGGACGGUAAUAACUCACUGUCAAAAUUUUUUGAUUGGAAUAGCCAAGGGUCGCCCCAGAAUUGCAUUAAUUUAAAAUUACUGUAUUUCUUUGUAUCAUGGUAAACAUAAAUCUUUCAAAAAUUAAUUCACAAACCUGAUAAAGUUGAUAAAAUCCAUCAAUCAAUUUAGUUACUUGGAUAUAAAAUUUAACUAUGAAUGUUUAUUCAUGAAUUUCAAAAUUCAUGCAUAACGGGAUGAUAUGAGGGAAUUUUUAUCCUCAUCCUAAUCUAUUUGAGGUAAGAUCAUUGAAUCAAUGGAAUAUGGCAAUAUUUCGAAUUCUGAAGACGUUCACUGUCAAUUCAACCAGAAUUUUUCAACAGCGGCGCGUGUUUGAGUGGUGAUGCGCUAUUUCAUAUGAAUUUUCAGGCUCAAUUUGUUUUAACUACAUUCGAAAAUUCCUCCAGUUUUUCCAGAGCGAGAGAGAGAGAGAAAGAGAGAGGUAGAAAAUUAGAGAGCAAGAGAGAAAUAUAGAGCUGAGAGGUGCCUAGCUGAAUAGAUAAAGCGCGUGCAGCAAAGUAGCGACCUUCUGCUCUAGGGAAUAAGUCAAGUUUUUAAGAAUUAAACGUCAAAGCGAGUAAUUAUUAACCAUUCAUUAGCUUCUCACUUCGUUAUAUUUUCUCUGCAUAAUGUCUACCUCGUUUGUAAAAUGGCAAAAAUAAAAUAAUAAAGACGAGAGCGAAACAGGAAGUUGAGAAAAUUCGAAUAAAUUCAGCUUAUUGUUUGAGACGGUAAUGCAUUGAUGUGAAAAAUUGAAAUGUGAAAACAGAAGAGGGCCUGACCCAUUCGAAUACAUCGUAUGCAAAGUGGAAGCUUAUAAUAAUUGAAUUUUUAUAAUUUAUACGAGUAAUCUACCGCUAAGUACCCCGUA
Molecule: RNA transcript, 5912 nt
Organism: Fopius arisanus
Lineage: Eukaryota; Metazoa; Arthropoda; Insecta; Hymenoptera; Braconidae
Gene name: protein snail
Exons: 3
Source: RefSeq, a predicted model, not a curated record